RNAcentral lists this transfer RNA (76 nucleotides) under Amycolatopsis tolypomycina. RNAcentral's name for it is "tRNA_Lys_TTT". It matches the Rfam family "tRNA". From Rfam's summary of the family: Transfer RNA (tRNA) molecules are approximately 80 nucleotides in length. Their secondary structure includes four short double-helical elements and three loops (D, anti-codon, and T loops). The record is from RNAcentral. Lineage: Bacteria; Bacillati; Actinomycetota; Actinomycetes; Pseudonocardiales; Pseudonocardiaceae.
GUGACACUCGCCGACAUUAUUGGGCGGCGGACUUUUAAUCCGUAGGUUCUGGGUUCGAGCCCCAGGCGGCCCACUA